UGAGCAAUCUGCCCUUCUCUUCGGAAUAAGCGUUGGAAACGACGUCUAAUGCCGAAUACGACCUCCUUUCGCAUGAUCGGAGGUGGAAAGCUCCGGCGGAGAAGGAUGAGCUCGCGGCCUAUCAGCUAGUUGGUGUGGGUAAUGGCCCACCAAGGCGACGACGGGUAGCUGGUCUGAGAGGACGACCAGCCACACUGGAACUGAGAUACGGUCCAGACUCCGUAGGAGG
This 229-nucleotide ribosomal RNA is filed under the name uncultured bacterium. RNAcentral describes it as "partial 16S ribosomal RNA". It matches the Rfam family "Bacterial small subunit ribosomal RNA", at positions 118 to 348 of the family's 1533-position model. The record is from RNAcentral.